UACGUAUGGAGCAAGCGUUAUCCGGAUUUACUGGGUGUAAAGGGAGCGUAGACGGCGGUGCAAGCCAGAUGUGAAAGCCCGGGGCUCAACCCCGGGACUGCAUUUGGAACUGUGCUGCUAGAGUGUCGGAGAGGCAGGCGGAAUUCCUAGUGUAGCGGUGAAAUGCGUAGAUAUCAGGAGGAACACCGGCGGCGAAGGCGGCUUACUGGACUGUAACUGACGUUGAGGCUCGAAGGCGUGGGGAGCAAACAGG
This 253-nucleotide ribosomal RNA is filed under the name uncultured Blautia sp. RNAcentral's name for it is "partial 16S ribosomal RNA". It matches the Rfam family "Bacterial small subunit ribosomal RNA", at positions 524 to 776 of the family's 1533-position model. Lineage: Bacteria; Bacillati; Bacillota; Clostridia; Lachnospirales; Lachnospiraceae. The record is from RNAcentral.